This 320-nucleotide long non-coding RNA is filed under the name Mytilus galloprovincialis (Mediterranean mussel). The record is from RNAcentral. Lineage: Eukaryota; Metazoa; Mollusca; Bivalvia; Mytilida; Mytilidae.
GCAGCGUCUAUUACCAUUUAACUUUUGAUUCCCGGUUUCAAUCGGUGCAUAUUUGAUACAAAAUCAAUUAAAUACAAUAAUUUGCAUAUCUUCCUAGGUUUUGAUCUCAUUUAUUCCUGUACCAUCUAAUUGAAAAAUAUUGAUGUUGUUUUUUUUUCUAUCCAACGUUUUUGAUCAAAGUCGACAAAGGAAUACAUAUAUUUCUUUUAAAAAGUAAGAAAAAACAUUAAGAAUUGAUAAUAGUAUAUAGCUUUUAAGGUAUCCAUAAUAUAUCGGAGAUAAUAGCAUUAUCAUGACAGUGUUGAGGUAAUCUCCUUCAU